This 127-nucleotide small RNA is filed under the name Marmota monax (woodchuck). The record is from RNAcentral. Lineage: Eukaryota; Metazoa; Chordata; Mammalia; Rodentia; Sciuridae.
GUGGAGUGUGAUGGCACACACCUGUAAUCCCAGCAACUUGGGAGGCUGAGGCAGGAGGAUCACAAGUCUGAGGACAGCCUCAGCAAUUUAGUGAGUCCCUAAGAAACUUAGUGAGACCCUGUCUCAA